UGGGGAAUUUUGGACAAUGGGCGAAAGCCUGAUCCAGCAAUGCCGCGUGUGUGAAGAAGGCCUUCGGGUUGUAAAGCACUUUUGUCCGGAAAGAAAUCCUUGGCUCUAAUACAGUCGGGGGAUGACGGUACCGGAAGAAUAAGCACCGGCUAACUACGUGCCAGCAGCCGCGGUAAUACGUAGGGUGCAAGCGUUAAUCGGAAUUACUGGGCGUAAAGCGUGCGCAGGCGGUUUGCUAAGACCGAUGUGAAAUCCCCGGGCUCAACCUGGGAACUGCAUUGGUGACUGGCAGGCUAGAGUAUGGCAGAGGGGGGUAGAAUUCCACGUGUAGCAGUGAAAUGCGUAGAGAUGUGGAGGAAUACCGAUGGCGAAGGCAGCCCCCUGGGCCAAUACUGACGCUCAUGCACGAAAGCGUGGGGAGCAAACAGGAUUAGAUACCCUGGUAGUCCACGCCCUAAAACGAUGUCGACUAGUUGUUGGGGGAUUCAUUUCCUUAGUAACGUAGCUAACGCGUGAAGUUGACCGCCUGGGGAGUACGGUCGCAAGAUUAAAACUCAAAUGAAUUGACGGGGUCAUAGCUG
This 581-nucleotide ribosomal RNA is filed under the name uncultured bacterium. Its description in RNAcentral is "partial 16S ribosomal RNA". It matches the Rfam family "Bacterial small subunit ribosomal RNA", at positions 355 to 932 of the family's 1533-position model. The record is from RNAcentral.